CCAAGAUGGCCGCCAUGGCUAAAAAUAGAACAUAGGGGUAAAAUGCAGUUUUUGGCUUAUAACUCAAAAACCAAAGCAUUUAGAGCAAAUCUGACAUGGUUAAAAGUGUUUAUCAGGUCAAGAUCUAUCUGUCCUGAAAUUUUCAGAUGAAUCGGACAAACUGUUGUUGGGUUGCUGCCCCUGAAUUGGUAUUUUUAAGGAAAUUUUGCUGUUUUUGGUUAUUAUCUUGAAUAUUAUUAUAGAUAGAGAUAAACUGUAAACAGCAAUAAUGUUCAGCAAAGUAAGAUUUACAAAUAUGUCA
RNAcentral lists this long non-coding RNA (301 nucleotides) under Mytilus galloprovincialis (Mediterranean mussel). Lineage: Eukaryota; Metazoa; Mollusca; Bivalvia; Mytilida; Mytilidae. The record is from RNAcentral.